GAUGAACGCUGGCGGCGUGCCUAAUACAUGCAAGUCGAGCGAACAGACGAGGAGCUUGCUCCUCUGACGUUAGCGGCGGACGGGUGAGUAACACGUGGAUAACCUACCUAUAAGACUGGGAUGACUUCGGGAAACCGGAGCUAAUACCGGAUAAUAUAUUGAACCGCAUGGUUCAAUAGUGAAAGACGGUUUUGCUGUCACUUAUAGAUGGAUCCGCGCCGCAUUAGCUAGUUGGUAAGGUAACGGCUUACCAAGGCGACGAUGCGUAGCCGACCUGAGAGGGUGAUCGGCCACACUGGAACUGAGACACGGUCCAGACUCCUACGGGAGGCAGCAGUAGGGAAUCUUCCGCAAUGGGCGAAAGCCUGACGGAGCAACGCCGCGUGAGUGAUGAAGGUCUUCGGAUCGUAAAACUCUGUUAUUGGGGAAGAACAAAUGUGUAAGUAACUAUGCACGUCUUGACGGUACCUAAUCAGAAAGCCACGGCUAACUACGUG
Molecule: ribosomal RNA, 497 nt
Filed under: uncultured bacterium
Lineage: Bacteria
Description: partial 16S ribosomal RNA
Rfam family: Bacterial small subunit ribosomal RNA
Source: RNAcentral